RNAcentral lists this long non-coding RNA (1274 nucleotides) under Monodelphis domestica (gray short-tailed opossum). RNAcentral's name for it is "lncRNA (ENSMODG00000047472.1)". The record is from RNAcentral. Lineage: Eukaryota; Metazoa; Chordata; Mammalia; Didelphimorphia; Didelphidae.
AGUAGGGUCUGGGAAAUUUUAAGGUUUACAGUUUAUGCUAUCUCCCUAGAUAGAAUGUAAGCUCCAUAAGCACAGGGAUUCUUUUUUUUUUUUGUCUUUGUGGUUAUUCAAUCAUUUCAGUGUCUUCAAGGCACCAUUUAGGGUUUUCUUGGCAAAGAAACUGGAGUAAUUUUCUUCUCCAGCUCAAUUUACAAAUGAGGAUACUAAGGCAAACAAGGUUAAUCGACUUGCCCAGGGACUUGUAGCUAGAAAGUGCCUGAGGCCAGAUUUGAAUGUAGGAAGAUCAGUCUUCCUGAUUCCAAACUCAAUGCUCUAGUCAAUGUGCCACCUAGCUGCCCCUCAGUGACUCAUAUAUCAUAGUAUGUUACUUGCUUGAUACACCAGAAUAUAAAUAUAAAGAAAUCUAACUGAACAUGGAUUUGAGAGAAUGAGACUGAAAUAGACAGUGUGAAAGAAAUGGAAAAAGAAUAAGAGAAGGAGGGGCUAGACAGAGAGAGAGAAUGAGAGGAGAGAGGAGAGAGAGGGAGAGGAGGAAAGAGAGAACUGUUACCCAUUUUUAUUGUUUUUGUUCUGACAGAUGAUCUUGUUUUUUUCAGAAAAUGUCUUCUCCACAGAAAAUUUUGUAGUUAAGGAAAAGCCAGAGCUUAAUUAUCCUUUCCUGCUUCUCUCUCUCUCUCUCUCUCUCUCUCUCUCUCUCUCUCUCUCUCUCUCUCUCUCUCUCUCUCUCUCUCUCUCUUUCUCUCUUUCUCUCUCUCUCUCUCUCUCUCUCUCUUUCUCUCUCUUUCUUUCUUUCUCUCUUUGUUUCUCUGUUUUUCUUUGUUUCUUUCUCUCUCUUUCUCUCUCUUUCUUUCUUUCUUUCUUUCUUUCUUUCUUUCUUUCUUUCUUUCUUUCUUUCUUUCUUUCUUUCUUUCUUUCUUUCUUUCUUUCUUUCUUUCUUUCUUUCUUUCUUUCUUUCUUUCUUUCUUUCUUUCUUUCUUUCUUUCUUUCUUUCUUUCUUUCUUUCUUUCUCACUAUAGCAUGACAUAGAAGAGAAGGAUUUAGCCUUAGAGUCAGAAGAACCUAGCUUUAAGUUCUAACUCUCAUCUAAGACCCAGGGCCAAUCUCUCAACCUCUAAGUGCCCCAGGCAAUUCUCUAAGAUUAUCAGAUGUGUUAUAGUUACUUUAUGUUUAUAGGAGCAAUUUCCUUAUCUAGAAGACAUCCUCACUGAUGAAAUUAAUUAUAUAUGUGAACAAUACAAAAUAAAAACUUUUAUAACAUGUAAUGGAUAAUGAAC